This 1670-nucleotide ribosomal RNA is filed under the name Salmonella enterica subsp. enterica serovar Typhi. Its description in RNAcentral is "partial 23S ribosomal RNA". It matches the Rfam family "Bacterial large subunit ribosomal RNA", at positions 1289 to 2925 of the family's 2925-position model. The record is from RNAcentral. Lineage: Bacteria; Pseudomonadati; Pseudomonadota; Gammaproteobacteria; Enterobacterales; Enterobacteriaceae. RNAcentral also lists the same sequence under 1 other name.
UGCGAAUGCUGACAUAAGUAACGAUAAAGCGGGUGAAAAGCCCGCUCGCCGGAAGACCAAGGGUUCCUGUCCAACGUUAAUCGGGGCAGGGUGAGUCGACCCCUAAGGCGAGGCCGAAAGGCGUAGUCGAUGGGAAACGGGUUAAUAUUCCCGUACUUGGUGUUACUGCGAAGGGGGGACGGAGAAGGCUAUGUUGGCCGGGCGACGGUUGUCCCGGUUUAAGCGUGUAGGUAUGUGUUCCAGGUAAAUCCGGUUCACUUUAACACUGAGGCGUGACGACGAGGCACUACGGUGCUGAAGCAACAAAUGCCCUGCUUCCAGGAAAAGCCUCUAAGCAUCAGGUAACAUCAAAUCGUACCCCAAACCGACACAGGUGGUCAGGUAGAGAAUACCAAGGCGCUUGAGAGAACUCGGGUGAAGGAACUAGGCAAAAUGGUGCCGUAACUUCGGGAGAAGGCACGCUGACACGUAGGUGAAGUGAUUUACUCACGGAGCUGAAGUCAGCCGAAGAUACCAGCUGGCUGCAACUGUUUAUUAAAAACACAGCACUGUGCAAACACGAAAGUGGACGUAUACGGUGUGACGCCUGCCCGGUGCCGGAAGGUUAAUUGAUGGGGUCAGCGCAAGCGAAGCUCCUGAUCGAAGCCCCGGUAAACGGCGGCCGUAACUAUAACGGUCCUAAGGUAGCGAAAUUCCUUGUCGGGUAAGUUCCGACCUGCACGAAUGGCGUAAUGAUGGCCAGGCUGUCUCCACCCGAGACUCAGUGAAAUUGAACUCGCUGUGAAGAUGCAGUGUACCCGCGGCAAGACGGAAAGACCCCGUGAACCUUUACUAUAGCUUGACACUGAACAUUGAGCCUUGAUGUGUAGGAUAGGUGGGAGGCUUUGAAGUGUGGACGCCAGUCUGCAUGGAGCCGACCUUGAAAUACCACCCUUUAAUGUUUGAUGUUCUAACGUGGACCCGUGAUCCGGGUUGCGGACAGUGUCUGGUGGGUAGUUUGACUGGGGCGGUCUCCUCCUAAAGAGUAACGGAGGAGCACGAAGGUUGGCUAAUCCUGGUCGGACAUCAGGAGGUUAGUGCAAUGGCAUAAGCCAGCUUGACUGCGAGCGUGACGGCGCGAGCAGGUGCGAAAGCAGGUCAUAGUGAUCCGGUGGUUCUGAAUGGAAGGGCCAUCGCUCAACGGAUAAAAGGUACUCCGGGGAUAACAGGCUGAUACCGCCCAAGAGUUCAUAUCGACGGCGGUGUUUGGCACCUCGAUGUCGGCUCAUCACAUCCUGGGGCUGAAGUAGGUCCCAAGGGUAUGGCUGUUCGCCAUUUAAAGUGGUACGCGAGCUGGGUUUAGAACGUCGUGAGACAGUUCGGUCCCUAUCUGCCGUGGGCGCUGGAGAACUGAGGGGGGCUGCUCCUAGUACGAGAGGACCGGAGUGGACGCAUCACUGGUGUUCGGGUUGUCAUGCCAAUGGCACUGCCCGGUAGCUAAAUGCGGAAGAGAUAAGUGCUGAAAGCAUCUAAGCACGAAACUUGCCCCGAGAUGAGUUCUCCCUGAGACUUUAGGUCUCCUGAAGGAACGUUGAAGACGACGACGUUGAUAGGCCGGGUGUGUAAGCGCAGCGAUGCGUUGAGCUAACCGGUACUAAUGAACCGUGAGGCUUAACCUUACAACGCCGAAG